CGUGUAGGCGGUAUGGUAAGUCAGAUGUGAAAGCCCUGGGCUUAACCUAGGAAGUGCAUUUGAUACUGCCAUUCUUGAGUAUGGGAGAGGAGAGUGGAAUUCCCAGUGUAGAGGUGAAAUUCGUAGAUAUUGGGAGGAACAUCCGUAGCGAAGGCGACUCUCUGGACCAAUACUGACGCUGAGACGCGAAAGCGUGGGUAGCAAACA
RNAcentral lists this ribosomal RNA (207 nucleotides) under uncultured bacterium. RNAcentral's name for it is "partial 16S ribosomal RNA". It matches the Rfam family "Bacterial small subunit ribosomal RNA", at positions 568 to 774 of the family's 1533-position model. The record is from RNAcentral.